ACACCCUUACUUGAACAUGAUCUGUUCUAUAGCACCAUAGUACUGUGUCCUUAUAUUCUAAGAAGUCAGGAACCUAAAUAUGGUGGAUGGAUCAUGACUGUGAGAUCAGAGUGUGAUUAACGGUUUUGUGAUGGGAGCUUCAGUGACCUUUGCAGUUUGUUGUAAUUUAAGGAGUCAACAUCACUUGUGAUCUGGGGUGGUCACACGGUUGUUUAACAGAUU
This is a non-coding RNA of Cicer arietinum (chickpea), 222 nucleotides long. The record is from Rfam. Lineage: Eukaryota; Viridiplantae; Streptophyta; Magnoliopsida; Fabales; Fabaceae.